GAUCAGAUCAUGUAGGACCCUCAGUAGUAGUAGAUGUCACAGGAGUAUCUUACAGAUGCACAAGGAGAUAGGAGGGGCAUGUGGAGUCCAGCUGCACUUCCUUUCUACAGAGCAGGAGAGAUUAGAGGAACCAUUUCUUCAGCAUGUGUCUCCUCUCUGAUCUGAAGCCCCCCCCUUCAGGACCAGAAGUCUCUGUGAAGGGUUGUCUACACGAGGAUGACCUGUGGCACGUUGUGUCGUGCCUGUCUGCACAUCUGUCUGUGCACCACAUGUGUGCCUCGUACCCAGAGAGGCCAGAAGAGGUGGCGGAUCUGGAACUGGACUUACAGAUGGCGUAAGCUCCAUGCAGAGCCUGCUCAGAAUGCAGGGACACACGUCCCCGAUCUCAGACUGGAUGAGCCCUUCUGCCUCCCGGGCCCUGCUUUUCAUCUGCCCAUACAUCUAGGAGUCUGCGUAAGAUCAUUCUCUGGACCGGACAGAAUGGACCGUGACUGCUGAACUCUCCCGCUGGCCCAGGCAGACCCUGGAGUUAGAAGGUCUGGGAUUCAUCCUGUUUGGUAGUCUCAUCUGAGGAAGGGGAUACUUACAGAGGAGUUGGUCAGUGCUUCCCAAGGAGGAGAAAAGGGGGCCUUGGGAGGGACACCCCCCCAGCGUAGUCGCAUUCAUUAGCUCCACGCUGCACACAGCCCUUCCUGUGAGGUGGGCAUGUGCAGGAAAGAAGGACGGCCACUCAGCAAGGCUCAGAUAGUCACCGAGGCCAGGCGUGGUGUCACAACCCUGUGAUCCUGGGUGUUGGAAGCUGAGACAAGAGGACUGAGAGUUUGAGGCUAGCCUGGGCUAUCUAGUGAUAGUCUGUCUCAAAAAAAAAAUCAAGGGUUGAGGGCGCUGGGGAGACAGCCCGGUAUGUAACAUGCUUGCAAGGAUAAGGACCUGGGUUUGAGCCCCAGAACUCACGUUAAUAAUGAAAGAAAAGGAGAAGAAGCUGGAGAGACAUCUUAGCAGUUAGGAACACCCAUGCUUGCUUUUCCAGAGGACGUGAGUUCGGUUCCCAGCACCCACACCAGGCAGCUAGCUAGGAGCUGCUGCCUGUGAUUCCAGCUCCGGGAGAUCGGACACCCUCUGGCACCUGCAAGCCUGUGGC
This is a non-coding RNA of Peromyscus maniculatus bairdii (prairie deer mouse), 1141 nucleotides long. NCBI's taxonomy places the organism in Eukaryota, Metazoa, Chordata, Mammalia, Rodentia, Cricetidae. The record is from RefSeq and is a predicted model, not a curated record.